Molecule: ribosomal RNA, 547 nt
Filed under: uncultured bacterium
Lineage: Bacteria
Description: partial 16S ribosomal RNA
Rfam family: Bacterial small subunit ribosomal RNA
Source: RNAcentral
UGGGGAAUUUUGGACAAUGGGCGAAAGCCUGAUCCAGCAAUGCCGCGUGUGUGAAGAAGGCCUUCGGGUUGUAAAGCACUUUUGUCCGGAAAGAAAUCCUUGGCUCUAAUACAGUCGGGGGAUGACGGUACCGGAAGAAUAAGCACCGGCUAACUACGUGCCAGCAGCCGCGGUAAUACGUAGGGUGCAAGCGUUAAUCGGAAUUACUGGGCGUAAAGCGUGCGCAGGCGGUUUGCUAAGACCGAUGUGAAAUCCCCGGGCUCAACCUGGGAACUGCAUUGGUGACUGGCAGGCUAGAGUAUGGCAGAGGGGGGUAGAAUUCCACGUGUAGCAGUGAAGUGCGUAGAGAUGUGGAGGAAUACCGAUGGCGAAGGCAGCCCCCUGGGCCAAUACUGACGCUCAUGCACGAAAGCGUGGGGAGCAAACAGGAUUAGAUACCCUGGUAGUCCACGCCCUAAACGAUGUCAACUAGUUGUUGGGGAUUCAUUUCCUUAGUAACGUAGCUAACGCGUGAAGUUGACCGCCUGGGGAGUACGGUCGCAAGAUU